CCUACGGGGGGCAGCAGUGAGGAAUAUUGGUCAAUGGGCGCGAGCCUGAACCAGCCAAGUCGCGUGAGGGAUGACGGCCCUACGGGUUGUAAACCUCUUUUGCCGGGGAGCAACGGGCGCCACGUGUGGCGCCACUGAGAGUACCCGGAGAAAAAGCAUCGGCUAACUCCGGGCCAGCAGCCGCGGUAAUACGUAGGUGGCAAGCGUUGUCCGGAUUUACUGGGUGUAAAGGGCGUGCAGCCGGGAAGACAAGUCAGAUGUGAAAUCCCGCGGCUCAACCGCGGAACUGCAUUUGAAACUGUUUUUCUUGAGUAUCGGAGAGGUAAUCGGAAUUCCUAGUGUAGCGGUGAAAUGCGUAGAUAUUAGGAAGAACACCAGUGGCGAAGGCGGAUUACUGGACGACAACUGACGGUGAGGCGCGAGAGCGUGGGGAGCAAACAGGAUUAGAUACCCCUGGUAGUC
Molecule: ribosomal RNA, 462 nt
Filed under: uncultured bacterium
Lineage: Bacteria
Description: partial 16S ribosomal RNA
Rfam family: Bacterial small subunit ribosomal RNA
Source: RNAcentral